GAUGAACGCUAGCGAUAGGCUUAACACAUGCAAGUCGAGGGGCAGCAUGGUCUUAGCUUGCUAAGACUGAUGGCGACCGGCGCACGGGUGCGUAACGCGUAUGCAACUUGCCUCACAGAGGGGGAUAACCCGUCGAAAGACGGACUAAUACCGCGUACACUUGGGAUAGGGCAUCCUGACCCAAGGAAAUGAAAUUCGCUGUGAGAUAGGCAUGCGUCCCAUUAGCUAGUUGGUGAGGUAACGGCUCACCAAGGCGACGAUGGGUAGGGGAACUGAGAGGUUGAACCCCCACACUGGUACUGAGACACGGACCAGACUCCUACGGGAGGCAGCAGUGAGGAAUAUUGGUCAAUGGGCGAGAGCCUGAACCAGCCAAGUCGCGUGAAGGAUGACCGUCUUAUGGAUUGUAAACUUCUUUUAUACGGGAAUAACAAGAGUCACGUGUGGCUCCCUGCAUGUACCGUAUGAAUAAGCAUCGGCUAACUCCGUG
This 490-nucleotide ribosomal RNA is filed under the name uncultured bacterium. Its description in RNAcentral is "partial 16S ribosomal RNA". It matches the Rfam family "Bacterial small subunit ribosomal RNA", at positions 28 to 507 of the family's 1533-position model. The record is from RNAcentral.